Long non-coding RNA from Oreochromis aureus, 1144 nucleotides. Lineage: Eukaryota; Metazoa; Chordata; Actinopteri; Cichliformes; Cichlidae. The record is from Ensembl.
AAAGAUGAUGUGGCCUUUGCAGAGAUGUUGAACAGGAUUAGAGUCAAAGAAAAGACAGAUGAGCUUUCUCAGUGCGACAGAGAUUUGUUGUCACAGGCCGUGACUGCACCAGAAGAAUGUCCAACUGAGGUCUUACACAUCUAUGCCACCAACAAGAAUGUGGAAUCCCACAACACAGAUACCCUGAAGAAGCUUCAUUCAAACAUUAUAAUCAUCAAUGCAGACGAUUUCCAGAAGGAUAAAUGUACAGGCAGAAUGGCACGAAGAGACAAACCAUUUACAGGACUUGGAUGAGAAAAAGAUUUACGCCAAUCCUGAGGUAACUGCAGCGCUCCAAACCAUGAGACAAGCCAGUGUUGAGGAAAUGAUGCCUCUUCUUCAGAGUCUCACCUCCAAGGCUCCUUUGUUGCAGACAGUCUUCAUUUGGACGGCUACACCAUGUUCAAAUGCAACAGACAUGUGUCCUACACAAACUUUCCUCACAUGGCCAGCAGAAGUGGUGGUGGAGUUGUUGUGUAUUUGAGGAAUCAUUUUCAGGUUCAGGUAAAACAGUAUCUGCAUAAUGUCACUGAUCUUGAGUUUUUAGUGUUGAAGGUUCAGGCUCCAUUCCCUGCGCUCAUUGCUGUUGUGUACAGACCUCCAGACUACAGUUUGACACCGUUCAUGCAAAACCUGGUAAGUCUUUUAGAUUCACUUGAAAUAAUGGACUGUCACCCAAUAAUUGUGUGUGGAGAUUUUAAUGAGAACCAGUUACAGAGUGGAAGAAAACAGAUUCUGGAGCAGUUUCAGUCGAGAGGGUAUUCACAGCUGAUCACUUCUGCCACUACAGACAAGAACACCUUGCUUGACCUCAUUUUUAUUUCUCAGCCACAGCAAAGUCUUCAUUCAGGUGUCCUGAGAACAUAUUACAGUUACCACAACCCUGUGUUUUGUGUCCUGUCCUUGAGCCAAUCAUGAAGUCGUCUGGUGAGUUUUGAAACAAUUACAGAUCAUGUUUGUUACAGAGUUUACUGAUUGUAGAGCAUGAAAAAGAUUUUUCAUUGAAAAAAGGGUCUUCACUACUCUGUCUGUCAGAAGACCCUUUCUUAUUGCAAUGUUAUUAAUCAUUUCACCAAAUCAUUGCUGAACUUCAUCCAGAGCAGGG